UAACGCGUGGGUAACCUGCCUUAUACAGGGGGAUAACAGUCAGAAAUGGCUGCUAAUACCGCAUAAGCGCACAGAGGUGCAUGGCUCAGUGUGAAAAACUCCGGUGGUAUAAGACGGACCCGCGUUGGAUUAGCUAGUUGGUGAGGUAACGGCCUACCAAGGCGACGAUCCAUAGCCGGCCUGAGAGGGUGAACGGCCACAUUGGGACUGAGACACGGCCCAGACUCCUACGGGAGGCAGCAGUGGGGAAUAUUGCACAAUGGGGGAAACCCUGAUGCAGCGACGCCGCGUGAAGGAAGAAGUAUCUCGGUAUGUAAACUUCUAUCAGCAGGGAAGAUAGUGACGGUACCUGACUAAGAAGCCCCGGCUAACUACGUGCCAGCAGCCGCGGUAAUACGUAGGGGGCAAGCGUUAUCCGGAUUUACUGGGUGUAAAGGGAGCGUAGACGGUGUGGCAAGUCUGAUGUGAAAGCGCAUGGGCUCAACCUGUGGACUGCAUUGGAAACUGUCAUACUUGAGUGCCGGAGGGUAAGCGGAAUUCCUAGUGUAGCGGUGAAAUGCGUAGAUAUUAGGAGGAACACCAGUGGCGAA
This 590-nucleotide ribosomal RNA is filed under the name uncultured Lachnospiraceae bacterium. Its description in RNAcentral is "bacterial SSU rRNA". It matches the Rfam family "Bacterial small subunit ribosomal RNA", at positions 111 to 719 of the family's 1533-position model. Lineage: Bacteria; Bacillati; Bacillota; Clostridia; Lachnospirales; Lachnospiraceae. The record is from RNAcentral.